CCUACGGGUGGCAGCAGUGGGGAAUAUUGGGCAAUGGGCGCAAGCCUGACGCAGCAACGCCGCGUGAGGGAAGAAGGAUUUCGGGAUGUAAACCUCUAUCAAGAGGGAAGAGGAGAGGAGGGACCCUAUUGAGUAACCCACGGUGAACUAGGGGCCACCAGCCGCGGUAAGACGAAGGUGGCAAGCGUUGUCCGGAUUUACUGGGUGAAAAGGGGGGGCAGCCGGGAAGACAAGUCUGAAGUGAAAGCCCGCGGCUUAACCGCGGAACUGCAUUGGAAACUGUUUGUCUUGAGUGCCGGAGAGGUCAGCGGAAUUCCUUGUGUAGCGGUGAAAUGCGUAGAUAUUAGGAAGAACACCAGUGGCGAAGGCGGAUGACUGGACGGCAACUGACGGUGAGGCGCGAAAGCGUGGGGAGCAAACAGGAUUAGAUACCCGGGUAGUC
RNAcentral lists this ribosomal RNA (442 nucleotides) under uncultured bacterium. Its description in RNAcentral is "partial 16S ribosomal RNA". It matches the Rfam family "Bacterial small subunit ribosomal RNA", at positions 338 to 795 of the family's 1533-position model. The record is from RNAcentral.